Molecule: long non-coding RNA, 3379 nt
Organism: Triticum aestivum (bread wheat)
Lineage: Eukaryota; Viridiplantae; Streptophyta; Magnoliopsida; Poales; Poaceae
Exons: 8
Source: RefSeq, a predicted model, not a curated record
UCCAUUGUUUAGAAGAAAGAAAAAAAUGUGUUCGCUUGCCCUGCCCUCAUUCCCCAUCCGCACAUCCCUCUCCCUCCCUCGUCUGCCGCCGCCACCACCACCACCGGCGACCUCCUCCAUGGUUGCCACCCCACCCCCUUCUCUCCCCCCUUACCUUCUCCUCAUCAGCGACCUCCUUCCCUCCCCCUCACCGGAUCCGAGGCGUGCGGGCGCGGAGGCGAGCUUCUUCAGCGGUGUCCGCCUCCCUCUCAUCUCCUCUGCUACUGCUCCGCCUCUCCAACCGCCCCGGGUCGCAGCCGCACCGCACGACGGCAGGCCAGGCGAGCUGCACCGCACCAGGUGGGCUAGGGCGAUCUCCAACGCGAGCGCGCGCACCCGUUGCCCACGCCAGCGUGGUCCCCGGCCCCGAGCAACAGGAACACAUGGUUCCUACCCGGGUCGCCGUAGCCGACACCGUCAAAGAGAGGUGGCGGUGUGGACAAGGACGCCAUGGCUGUCUUCGCCGAGAGCGUCCGCAUCUUCAUCCACUGUCUCUCCACCAUGACCAUGAGUAGGGUUGCUCAUCAUUAAGAAGUGUGUUUGUUCAUGGAUAGUUGCACAGUGGAGGAAGAAUUUGGUUAUUUGGAGUGUGCACUGGAGUUAUUGGAAGAUAAUUCCAUUACUAGAUCACAACUUUUGGGACAUAAGUACAGAAGGUGUUUGAUGAAAGUUCAGCAACAUCCAAGCAUGCUCAACUCCAGUUCGCCAACACUCAAAAUUUAAACAAAACGAGAACAUCGAGUGUGCACUACUGAUGCCAUCAUGAAAGGUUUCCCUACAAAUAAAAACCAUAAGUUUCAGAAAUACGACAAGAAGGUCAUGGGUAAGACAAGACAGCAGAUGGCUUUGUUUAUCAAUCAAGGUUGUCGUACAUACGAUUAGCUUGUACAUGCAUCGGAAAUUCACAUUUGUCAUCCUUUAAUUUUGCUAUCACAUGGUGUGUUGUGUGAGUUAACAGGGAUCAACUGAACUAUUUUUCAGUUUGCAUCCUCUGUUUUUUCACGGUUCUUUCAGGAUUUGCUUGUUCACAAAUUUCUGUGUUGUUUCUGCAGGCAUUAUUAUGUCACCAUGAACAUUGGGGAUCCGGCCAAGCCUUACUUCCUGGGUAGCCCAAGUUUGCUUGACUGUUGGUUGUGCAGUCCUUUAUUCUGUAACUGUACCUUGACUAUCAAGGCAUGCAGUGCCAUUUGUUUCUUGUAAACUUGUCUUACCUUUCAUGCAUUUGUCUGUUUAGAUAUUGUAAUUUGAUUUCCCGCUUCUCCGUAGAACAAAGGAGGAGGUAUGGCAUGCAAUCUAUUGGAAAUGUGUUGAUGUACUUCUUAACAGGAAGGUUGUUGACAAUAACCACACGUAAUUUUCUGGCAUCUAUGCUAUUCUCUGUACUAACACAUGCUGGUGUUGCUGUCAGUCUUCCAUGGCAGGUCUGAAAGUUGGGAAUAGAAGCAUAAAUAUGAGAAAAUCAACGAAAUAAAAAUUGCUACCAUUUAGGCAUCUUAUUUAUUGUAUUCUCUUACAUGUAGGUCCUCUGUCAUGAAUAUCCUACUGAAUUUGCAUCUUAUUUUCAUUACUACCGCUCACUGCGUUAUGAAAAUACGUCAGACUAUCAGAUCUCAAGAAAUUGUUCUGCUUGAGAGUGCAGAUGGCGUAAGGCAGGAAAGGAAAAAGGCUUUUUGUGGUGAUCGGGAUCAAUACCGCCUUCGGUAGCAAGAAGCGUCGUGAUUCUGUCAGGGGGACCUGGAUGCCUCAAGGUGAGAAACUCAAGAAAUUGGAAGAGGAAAGGGGAGUCGUCAUUUGAUUUAUGACCGCUUCAUUUCGUGUUUCCUCUGUGUGGUGUGAGGUGCGUGUUGUUUUGAGAGCUUGAAGCAAGCAGAACGCCUAAGGAGCGUCCUGGGGAUGACAGAGGCAUUGGCGACGACAUCAGGCGAGAGAUGAAGACGACAUCGAUCAAGAGCUGCUUGCACAACCAGAGGCGGCAUGGGCUCAACGCAAGUGGACCAUCAUCCAGCACGUCUUGUUCCUGUCCAUGCGACAUUUCCUCAUACAUGAGGGCUACAUCAUUUACAAAUUUUGAUUAUGUACGCCUACAAGGUAUUUGUUGAAAAUCCCAGAGGGCUGGCAGGGAAGGAGUGGUCUAUAUAAGCCAUGUGAUUCCAUUCUUCAAAAAAUCAGUACCAGACAAUCAUAACAAGAUGAUUUUGAGAUUAACGAGAAUCCAUGAGAUGAAUAAAAGUAUGAAGAAACAAGGAAUUCUGUCACAGGAGAAACUGUGGUACAACACUUCAACACGGCACAGGAGGCAGAUCAGGGCAACUUCAAGGAUAAGGCAACAUCUGCAGACCUGGAGGUGGUUGAGGUGACCUUGCUGUUGGAGUGGUUUGCCGAAAAUUAUCGGCAGUUUGGUUGCACGCUGGAGCUUAUCACAAACAACACACAGGAUCUCAGUUCUGUACGGGCUAUGGUGGGAUAGGAGGGAUCCUGCGCUACCGGGUUGAGGUGAACGCUUACGAAGACACACUUGAUAAGGAGUAUGAUGAAGACUUUGAAGACCAGUCAACUGAAACUCCAGUGAAUUCAGUACAGGAGGAGCAUGUCCUAGCCCGGAACCGGAACGCGCUACGCGCCACAGCAGGAGGCUGAGGCAUCUACAAGCUCAUCGAGGAAAGCUUAAGGAAGACAACGAGAAGACUUGAGAAAUGAUGAUAUAAAGUAUGCUGCUGUUGCAUGAGUUAAGUCCUCUCAGCGUGAUCUAGACAAAUCUAAGACAAGUAAUUUGGGAUGGAGGUAAUACAAACCAAAGUAAUUUUGCCCAACAAUCACCAAGCCACAUACAUGCGACAUUGUACCGAGUAGGCAAUCCAACUUUCUUUUGACAGUGAGUAGGAAAAAAAUGGCAUGACUUCAAGUGCGACCACUAGAACUGUGUGAGAUACCCUUUUUUGUAAUAGAUGAUGCGUCAUCAACACAUCCUGAUAGUGAGCUGUGUUUGAACCUAUGGAGAUUGCUUCUGUAGACAAGCUUUACAAGAUCUUCGAGAGAGGCCAGCUAACACGUAGGCCAUCAGUCACUUCAUAUGUAGAGAAGGGAUGGACAGCGCGACUGACGCCUUUGCUGGUUCCUUCUGGCACGUGUAUAUAUAAUGUGGUGGCACUAUCAAAGUUGAAGUACUGAUUGUGCCCAUUCCAAAUGAACUGUUUCUCUGAACUUUGUUCUUAAAUAGACACAUCGGGUCAUCCCUCCUCGGUAAAGGGGUUAGUUUGUUUGUUCUUUCAUCAGCUCACUCCAAGCUUGAUUACAUGGAGCAUUAUGAAAAGGUUCCUUGGAUCUUCUUGGUCUGCAACAA